AAAUCAUCAAGAGCGGUGGAGGGACUGGCCCUGUGAUACCCGGCAACCUACUUAAAAUCUUUAGUAAGGUGCUAAUUCCAGCAUUCCGGAAAGGAAUGAUAGAUGAGAG
Molecule: non-coding RNA, 109 nt
Filed under: Halanaerobium saccharolyticum
Lineage: Bacteria; Bacillati; Bacillota; Clostridia; Halanaerobiales; Halanaerobiaceae
Also listed under: 1 other name
Description: SAM-I sequence
Rfam family: SAM riboswitch aptamer (S box leader)
About the family: The SAM riboswitch is found upstream of a number of genes which code for proteins involved in methionine or cysteine biosynthesis in Gram-positive bacteria.
Source: RNAcentral